Non-coding RNA from Sus scrofa (pig), 1665 nucleotides. The record is from RefSeq and is a predicted model, not a curated record. Lineage: Eukaryota; Metazoa; Chordata; Mammalia; Artiodactyla; Suidae.
GGAGUGUGCUGGGGGGGUGGGCUUAUCAAGGUGCAUGACGAAGUCCUUCAGAUGAUUCUCAUCUCAUCGUUAGGCCAGUCCUCAAAUAUAAUCAAGAAGCUACUAACCAAAGAUGGGAGACGGCUGCUGGAAGGAAAAGCCAUGCCCACAACGGGGUUUUAUUCUACUGUAAGCACCCCAAAGGCCUGGAUUUCAGUGCUGCGUCCCUAGGUGCUCACAACCGGGCACACACGGGUUCUCGAAUGAACUCCUGACUGCGCUCCCUGCUUGGUGGUCACGGUGGCAGAACCCAGGUCUACACUUCCAAGCACUCUGUGAAGGUCCGUGGAAAAGACACGAGACACUUUAAGUAAAGCAAGGAUAGAAUUUUCUGCAAUCGUUAUCUAGCCCAACAUCAUCGAGGAACCUGGCCCAUCUGAACUGUCUGGCAAAGGAGGUAACAUGUCUACCUUUGGCUAGCUUCCCUCCCUCCCUUUCUGCCUCCCCUCCUGUCUUCCACAAACAUUUAUGAGGGUUUGCUCUGCUGCAGGCACUGGUGCUGUGGGGAGGGAUGGGGAACAAACUGAGCCAGCUGUGGAUCCAGAAGUCAAACAGCUGAUGGGCUAGAAAGGGAGGCAACAGGUAAAUAACUGUAAUCCAGGGGAGAAAAAUAAUGCAUUUCAAAAUUAAACAAAACUUGUGAGAAUAAUACACAUACCCCGUGCCCAGAGAUUGGGUUCCAAUUUUGCCAAUUGGUCCAGCAAUGACCUUCAUAGUAAAGGAUCCAGUCUGGCAUCAUGGGUUGCACAUGGUUGUCACCUCUUUUUAGUCUCUUUAAUCUGAAACAAUUCUUCAGUGUUUCAUUGAUUUUUAUGAUCUUACCAAUUUUAAAGGUUAUGGGUCAGCCGUUGUAUAGAAUGUCUCCUGAUUUGGGAUUGUUUGAUGUUCCCUUAUGAUUAGAUCCUGGUAAUAUGUUUUUGGCUAGAAUAUCGCAGAUACUGUGCUCAAAUUUUGUUAUAUCCUCUUGGGGGGGGGUGCAUGAGUGAUUUUUCCUGCUAACGGUGGUGUUUACAUUCAUCAUUUGAUUUGCAUAAUGUUUUCCAAGUUUGGCCGCUACAAGUUACUUUUUAAGAAAAUGGGGAUUAAUACUUUGUGGGCAGAGACUUCAAGACCAUGUGAAAUUCUGUUUCCCACUUCAUGUUCAUUCACUAAUUUCAACAUCUUUGAUGUUUCCUGCCUGAAUUAAUUAUUACUCUAGUAAUAAUUAGUGUUGUGUGCCAAUCACAACAUUGUAAAUUCAACUAUACUCAAUAAAACUAUAAAAAAAUGAAAAAAAUUGCCAAAAAAAGGUUUUCUAAUGCCAUUUUCUCCCUUGUAUUUAGUAUGCAUUUUUAUUAGUAUUAUUUUUAUUAUUAUGACUUUUUGUUAUAAGGAAUAGCUUUCUCUCCUUAUUUAUGUGACUUUUAAUGUUUUUAGUUAUAUCAGUAUUGACACAUAGAUUCUUAAUUCCUAAAAACUCUUAUUAUUUACUUGGUUAUGAUCCAUUCCUGUAAUUAUUUAUUUUGAUGUUCAGUUUUCCCCCGACUUGGCAAGUGAGAGCUCCUUCAAGUUUGCUUCCAUGUCUUUUUGGUAUGACCUCAUUAUUCUUUGACCAUUUCCAUGCUUCCUGGUGUCAUAUGACAUUUC